GAGCUUACUUAACAGCACAUUUAGUAAAAUUGGAAUGAAACAGAAAUUAGCAUGGCCCCUGCUCAGAGAUGACAUGCAAAUUUGUAAAGUGUCCCAUAUUUAU
This is a small nuclear RNA of Cynocephalus volans (Philippine flying lemur), 103 nucleotides long. The record is from RefSeq and is a predicted model, not a curated record. NCBI's taxonomy places the organism in Eukaryota, Metazoa, Chordata, Mammalia, Dermoptera, Cynocephalidae.